UUACACUCGGCUGAGUCCUGGUCAGAAAUUUGAUCAUGCUGAGAACGAAGAACAGCAGACCGCGUGUUCCCGCCAGAUACUUUUCACAGUAGCCGUCGGCAAAUGCGUCAUAGAGUGUCUCCCUUCUUUGCUCUAUUUCACUCUACUAUGGCUCUCUCUCUGCGUUGUAAUUUUAGCCAAAAACUUAGCUGGCUGUUAGCCGACUGUCAGAGCACCGUUUGACAGGCGGUUGUCACACAAAAUCUGUGUAAAUUGUGCCUCUAAUUACAAUUGACAAUGUUUUUACAAUAAAUUGCGUGCCAGUUUGCGGCCUGUCUCCACCUCUUUGUGUGCCUCUGGCUCUAUGGCUCUAUGGCUAUAUGGCUCUCUGGCUCUGUGACUCUGGCUAUUUGGGUUAAACAAUCACAAUUUUAUGCUUAAAUCAACUUGGAGGCGUUCGUGUGUUACAAAUUUGUCUAAACGAAAGCGACAAACGAUCCGAAUACGUAUCCCGCAAAAGGCAACCCAUAGACACACAACACACAUCAGAACCUAAGCUGAUUUGACAAGCACGCUUAUGGCUUUUCAUAUUUUUGUAUAUUUUGUUUGUUGUAUGCCCAAGAAUUAUGGAAUAACUUUGGUUUUAUACGAACUGAAGAACAGCUUUUGCGUGCAUCCAUAAAGUGGAAGCCAUUGAUUGAUUUUUGAUCCUGAUUUAAUCCUUAUAUUUCUCCACUUCUAUGUAUAGCUAUUCUUUAAGAUAUUUUCAUAGGAAUCGCAACAUCUUAGCAACAUUCCAAGCAUUCCUCUAAAACCCAAAAAUCAUCUUUGGUUAGAGCAUUCCGCAAUCAUCAUUCUGAUUUUAUAUAAAACACAUUUCUGGUUCUGCUGCCCGACUGUCUCUGCUCUGUUCUUUUUUUGGCUGUUUAACAUUUUUGCCCAUAUGAAUAAUGAUUUCAUUUUUCCCAUCAGCUAAUUUAUACAAGUGGGGCAAUGCGCGAGGGGCCCUUGGUGCGAUUUAGAGGAUUAGUCAGGCCUUACUUUUCCAUAAUUCUCGAAAAGCAGAGACCCCAGGUCUGAGUCCGAGUCGGAGUUGAAGUCAGAGUCCCAGUCCCAGUCCAAGCUGUGGCCUCUACCUGUGCCCUGGCCUGGCUCGAGGUUGCGUCCGUGUGCAGAUAUAAAAAAUAUGCAAGAUGACAGUUUAAUUUUAUGUCUGUCUCUAUCUGCAAUCUUGUGCCUGCCGUCUCUUUCGGGGAUCCGAUGGAAUGCGAAAUGGAGUCUGGUACGUGGCUACUUUUGGCUCCUUUCGGUGAGGAAUUUAAUUAAUUUGAGCGCGACUUCUAAUGACAAAGUGGGCGUGACCAAGGCUUAGGAAUUGGAACGCGAAACUUGCCAAAAAAA
Drosophila pseudoobscura is the source of this 1380-nucleotide long non-coding RNA. RefSeq lists it as uncharacterized. The transcript is spliced from 2 exons. NCBI's taxonomy places the organism in Eukaryota, Metazoa, Arthropoda, Insecta, Diptera, Drosophilidae. The record is from RefSeq and is a predicted model, not a curated record.